This 496-nucleotide ribosomal RNA is filed under the name uncultured bacterium. RNAcentral describes it as "partial 16S ribosomal RNA". It matches the Rfam family "Bacterial small subunit ribosomal RNA", at positions 28 to 506 of the family's 1533-position model. The record is from RNAcentral.
GAUGAACGCUGGCGGCGUGCCUAAUACAUGCAAGUCGAGCGAACGGACGAGAAGCUUGCUUCUCUGAUGUUAGCGGCGGACGGGUGAGUAACACGUGGAUAACCUACCUAUAAGACUGGGAUAACUUCGGGAAACCGGAGCUAAUACCGGAUAAUAUUUUGAACCGCAUGGUUCAAAAGUGAAAGACGGUCUUGCUGUCACUUAUAGAUGGAUCCGCGCUGCAUUAGCUAGUUGGUAAGGUAACGGCUUACCAAGGCAACGAUGCAUAGCCGACCUGAGAGGGUGAUCGGCCACACUGGAACUGAGACACGGUCCAGACUCCUACGGGAGGCAGCAGUAGGGAAUCUUCCGCAAUGGGCGAAAGCCUGACGGAGCAACGCCGCGGGAGUGAUGAAGGUCUUCGGAUCGUAAAACGCUGUUAUUAGGGAAGAACAUAUGUGUAAGUAACUGUGCACAUCUUGACGGUACCUAAUCAGAAAGCCACGGCUAACUACGU